Acanthosepion pharaonis is the source of this 112-nucleotide non-coding RNA. The record is from the annotation of a GenBank genome assembly. Lineage: Eukaryota; Metazoa; Mollusca; Cephalopoda; Sepiida; Sepiidae.
ACGACUGUAUCACGUUGCAAAAUCGGUUCUCGUUCGAUCAUCGAAGUUAAACAACGUCGAGCUUGGUCAGUACUUAGAUGAGUGACCGUUUGGGAAUAAUAGGUGCUGUAGG